UACGUAGGUGACCAGCGUUGUCCGGAAUUAUUGGGCGUAAAGAGCUCGUAGGCGGUGUGUCGCGUCGGCCGUGAAAACCUGCAGCUUAACUGUGGGCUUGCGGUCGAUACGGGCAUCACUGGAGUUCGGCAGGGGAGACUGGAAUUCCUGGUGUAGCGGUGAAAUGCGCAGAUAUCAGGAGGAACACCGGUGGCGAAGGCGGGUCUCUGGGCCGAUACUGACGCUGAGGAGCGAAAGCGUGGGGAGCGAACAGG
Molecule: ribosomal RNA, 254 nt
Filed under: uncultured bacterium
Lineage: Bacteria
Description: partial 16S ribosomal RNA
Rfam family: Bacterial small subunit ribosomal RNA
Source: RNAcentral